CCUACGGGGUGCUGCAGUGGGGAAUAUUGCACAAUGGGGGAAACCCUGAUGCAGCGACGCCGCGUGAGUGAAGAAGUAUUUCGGUAUGUAAAGCUCUAUCAGCAGGGAAGAAAAUGACGGUACCUGAUUAAGAAGCCCCGGCUAACUACGUGCCAGCAGCCGCGGUAAUACGUAGGGGGCAAGCGUUAUCCGGAUUUACUGGGUGUAAGGGGAGCGUAGACGGCAGCACAAGUCUGGAGUGAAAUGCCGGGGCUUAACCCCGGAACUGCUUUGGAAACUGUGCAGCUAGAGUGCAGGAGAGGUAAGUGGAAUUCCUAGUGUAGCGGUGAAAUGCGUAGAUAUUAGGAGGAACACCAGUGGCGAAGGCGGCUUACUGGACUGUAACUGACGUUGAGGCUCGAAAGCGUGGGGAGCAAACAGGAUUAGAUACCCGAGUAGUC
This 440-nucleotide ribosomal RNA is filed under the name uncultured bacterium. Its description in RNAcentral is "partial 16S ribosomal RNA". It matches the Rfam family "Bacterial small subunit ribosomal RNA", at positions 338 to 795 of the family's 1533-position model. The record is from RNAcentral.